UACAUAGGUCGCAAGCGUUAUCCGGAUUUACUGGGUGUAAAGCGUCCGUAGGUGGUAUGUUAAGUCUGGAGUUAAAGCCCGGGGCUCAACCCCGGCCCGCUCUAGAUACUGACAAACUAGAGUUAUACAGAGGUUAGCGGAAUUCCAUGUGGAGCGGUGAAAUGCGUAGAUAUAUGGGAGAACACCAUUGGCGAAGGCGGCUAACUGGGUAUAUACUGACACUGAGGGACUAAAGCGUGGGGAGCAAAUA
RNAcentral lists this ribosomal RNA (250 nucleotides) under uncultured Mycoplasma sp. RNAcentral's name for it is "partial 16S ribosomal RNA". It matches the Rfam family "Bacterial small subunit ribosomal RNA", at positions 524 to 774 of the family's 1533-position model. Lineage: Bacteria; Bacillati; Mycoplasmatota; Mollicutes; Mycoplasmatales; Mycoplasmataceae. The record is from RNAcentral.